AGUCGAGCGAGGCGGCCCGCAAGGGUCAGUCGAGCGGCGAACGGGUGAGUAACGCGUGGAUAACCUGCCCAGAGGUGGGGGAUAACCCGGGGAAACUCGGGCUAAUACCGCAUGAUACCGAGAGGUCAAAGGGGGCUCGCAAGGGCUCUCGCCAUUGGAGGGGUCCGCGUCCGAUUAGCUAGUUGGUAGGGUAAUGGCCUACCAAGGCGACGAUCGGUAGCCGGCCUGAGAGGGUGAUCGGCCACACUGGAACUGAGACACGGUCCAGACUCCUACGGGAGGCAGCAGUGGGGAAUUUUGCGCAAUGGGCUAACGCCUGACGCAGCAACGCCGCGUGGAGGAUGAAGGUCUUUGGAUUGUAAACUCCUGUCAGCAGGGAAAAAGCGAAUCGGCCUAACACGCCGGUGAGUUGAUUGUACCUGCAGAGGAAGCCCCGGCUAACUCUGUGCCAGCAGCCGCGGUAAUACAGAGGGGGCAAGCGUUAUUCGGAAUUAUUGGGCGUAAAGGGCGCGUAGGCGGCUUGGCAAGUGGAUGGUGAAAUCCCUCGGCUUAACCGAGGAACUGCCGUCCAAACUGCUUUGCUUGAGGCCGGGAGAGGCGAGUGGAAUUCCCAGUGUAGCGGUGAAAUGCGUAGAUAUUGGGAGGAACACCAGUGGCGAAGGCGGCUCGCUGGACCGGUUCUGACGCUGAUGCGCGAAAGCGUGGGGAGCAAACGGGAUUAGAUACCCCGGUAGUCCACGCUGUAAACGAUGAGUGCUUGGUGUAGCGGGUAUCGACCCCUGCUGUGCCGAAGUCAACACAUUAAGCACUCCGCCUGGGGAGUACGGUC
RNAcentral lists this ribosomal RNA (829 nucleotides) under uncultured Bacillota bacterium. RNAcentral describes it as "bacterial SSU rRNA". It matches the Rfam family "Bacterial small subunit ribosomal RNA", at positions 60 to 887 of the family's 1533-position model. Lineage: Bacteria; Bacillati; Bacillota. The record is from RNAcentral.